UAGCCUAGUGGUUAAGGCUACGGAUCGCCAGUCCGGAGACGGCGGGUUCCAUUCCCGU
Non-coding RNA from Aedes albopictus (Asian tiger mosquito), 58 nucleotides. The record is from Rfam. Lineage: Eukaryota; Metazoa; Arthropoda; Insecta; Diptera; Culicidae.